This 253-nucleotide ribosomal RNA is filed under the name uncultured bacterium. Its description in RNAcentral is "partial 16S ribosomal RNA". It matches the Rfam family "Bacterial small subunit ribosomal RNA", at positions 524 to 776 of the family's 1533-position model. The record is from RNAcentral.
UACGGGGGGGGCAAGCGUUGUUCGGAAUUACUGGGCGUAAAGAGCGUGUAGGCGGCCACGCAGGUCCGUUGUGAAAACUGGAGGCUCAACCUCCAGACGUCGACGGAAACCGUAUGGCUAGAGUCCGGAAGAGGAGAGUGGAAUUCCUGGUGUAGCAGUGAAAUGCGCAGAUAUCAGGAAGAACACCAAUGGCGAAGGCAGCUCUCUGGGACGGUACUGACGCUGAGACGCGAAAGCGUGGGGAGCGAACAGG